This 2906-nucleotide ribosomal RNA is filed under the name Escherichia coli. RNAcentral's name for it is "23S ribosomal RNA". It matches the Rfam family "Bacterial large subunit ribosomal RNA". The record is from RNAcentral. Lineage: Bacteria; Pseudomonadati; Pseudomonadota; Gammaproteobacteria; Enterobacterales; Enterobacteriaceae.
GGUUAAGCGACUAAGCGUACACGGUGGAUGCCCUGGCAGUCAGAGGCGAUGAAGGACGUGCUAAUCUGCGAUAAGCGUCGGUAAGGUGAUAUGAACCGUUAUAACCGGCGAUUUCCGAAUGGGGAAACCCAGUGUGAUUCGUCACACUAUCAUUAACUGAAUCCAUAGGUUAAUGAGGCGAACCGGGGGAACUGAAACAUCUAAGUACCCCGAGGAAAAGAAAUCAACCGAGAUUCCCCCAGUAGCGGCGAGCGAACGGGGAGCAGCCCAGAGCCUGAAUCAGUGUGUGUGUUAGUGGAAGCGUCUGGAAAGGCGCGCGAUACAGGGUGACAGCCCCGUACACAAAAAUGCACAUGCUGUGAGCUCGAUGAGUAGGGCGGGACACGUGGUAUCCUGUCUGAAUAUGGGGGGACCAUCCUCCAAGGCUAAAUACUCCUGACUGACCGAUAGUGAACCAGUACCGUGAGGGAAAGGCGAAAAGAACCCCGGCGAGGGGAGUGAAAAAGAACCUGAAACCGUGUACGUACAAGCAGUGGGAGCACAGAGCAAUCUGUGUGACUGCGUACCUUUUGUAUAAUGGGUCAGCGACUUAUAUUCUGUAGCAAGGUUAACCGAAUAGGGGAGCCGAAGGGAAACCGAGUCUUAACUGGGCGUUAAGUUGCAGGGUAUAGACCCGAAACCCGGUGAUCUAGCCAUGGGCAGGUUGAAGGUUGGGUAACACUAACUGGAGGACCGAACCGACUAAUGUUGAAAAAUUAGCGGAUGACUUGUGGCUGGGGGUGAAAGGCCAAUCAAACCGGGAGAUAGCUGGUUCUCCCCGAAAGCUAUUUAGGUAGCGCCUCGUGAAUUCAUCUCCGGGGGUAGAGCACUGUUUCGGCAAGGGGGUCAUCCCGACUUACCAACCCGAUGCAAACUGCGAAUACCGGAGAAUGUUAUCACGGGAGACACACGGCGGGUGCUAACGUCCGUCGUGAAGAGGGAAACAACCCAGACCGCCAGCUAAGGUCCCAAAGUCAUGGUUAAGUGGGAAACGAUGUGGGAAGGCCCAGACAGCCAGGAUGUUGGCUUAGAAGCAGCCAUCAUUUAAAGAAAGCGUAAUAGCUCACUGGUCGAGUCGGCCUGCGCGGAAGAUGUAACGGGGCUAAACCAUGCACCGAAGCUGCGGCAGCGACGCUUAUGCGUUGUUGGGUAGGGGAGCGUUCUGUAAGCCUGUGAAGGUGUACUGUGAGGUAUGCUGGAGGUAUCAGAAGUGCGAAUGCUGACAUAAGUAACGAUAAAGCGGGUGAAAAGCCCGCUCGCCGGAAGACCAAGGGUUCCUGUCCAACGUUAAUCGGGGCAGGGUGAGUCGACCCCUAAGGCGAGGCCGAAAGGCGUAGUCGAUGGGAAACAGGUUAAUAUUCCUGUACUUGGUGUUACUGCGAAGGGGGGACGGAGAAGGCUAUGUUGGCCGGGCGACGGUUGUCCCGGUUUAAGCGUGUAGGCUGGUUUUCCAGGCAAAUCCGGAAAAUCAAGGCUGAGGCGUGAUGACGAGGCACUACGGUGCUGAAGCAACAAAUGCCCUGCUUCCAGGAAAAGCCUCUAAGCAUCAGGUAACAUCAAAUCGUACCCCAAACCGACACAGGUGGUCAGGUAGAGAAUACCAAGGCGCUUGAGAGAACUCGGGUGAAGGAACUAGGCAAAAUGGUGCCGUAACUUCGGGAGAAGGCACGCUGAUAUGUAGGUGAAGUCCCUCGCGGAUGGAGCUGAAAUCAGUCGAAGAUACCAGCUGGCUGCAACUGUUUAUUAAAAACACAGCACUGUGCAAACACGAAAGUGGACGUAUACGGUGUGACGCCUGCCCGGUGCCGGAAGGUUAAUUGAUGGGGUUAGCGCAAGCGAAGCUCUUGAUCGAAGCCCCGGUAAACGGCGGCCGUAACUAUAACGGUCCUAAGGUAGCGAAAUUCCUUGUCGGGUAAGUUCCGACCUGCACGAAUGGCGUAAUGAUGGCCAGGCUGUCUCCACCCGAGACUCAGUGAAAUUGAACUCGCUGUGAAGAUGCAGUGUACCCGCGGCAAGACGGAAAGACCCCGUGAACCUUUACUAUAGCUUGACACUGAACAUUGAGCCUUGAUGUGUAGGAUAGGUGGGAGGCUUUGAAGUGUGGACGCCAGUCUGCAUGGAGCCGGCCUUGAAAUACCACCCUUUAAUGUUUGAUGUUCUAACGUUGACCCGUAAUCCGGGUUGCGGACAGUGUCUGGUGGGUAGUUUGACUGGGGCGGUCUCCUCCUAAAGAGUAACGGAGGAGCACGAAGGUUGGCUAAUCCUGGUCGGACAUCAGGAGGUUAGUGCAAUGGCAUAAGCCAGCUUGACUGCGAGCGUGACGGCGCGAGCAGGUGCGAAAGCAGGUCAUAGUGAUCCGGUGGUUCUGAAUGGAAGGGCCAUCGCUCAACGGAUAAAAGGUACUCCGGGGAUAACAGGCUGAUACCGCCCAAGAGUUCAUAUCGACGGCGGUGUUUGGCACCUCGAUGUCGGCUCAUCACAUCCUGGGGCUGAAGUAGGUCCCAAGGGUAUGGCUGUUCGCCAUUUAAAGUGGUACGCGAGCUGGGUUUAGAACGUCGUGAGACAGUUCGGUCCCUAUCUGCCGUGGGCGCUGGAGAACUGAGGGGGGCUGCUCCUAGUACGAGAGGACCGGAGUGGACGCAUCACUGGUGUUCGGGUUGUCAUGCCAAUGGCACUGCCCGGUAGCUAAAUGCGGAAGAGAUAAGUGCUGAAAGCAUCUAAGCACGAAACUUGCCCCGAGAUGAGUUCUCCCUGACUCCUUGAGAGUCCUGAAGGAACGUUGAAGACGACGACGUUGAUAGGCCGGGUGUGUAAGCGCAGCGAUGCGUUGAGCUAACCGGUACUAAUGAACCGUGAGGCUUAACCUU